UGCUUGUUGGUCUUGGGGUAUGAUUGUUGCUUUGAGUCCAAGAGGACCCAGGUUCAAAUCCCAGACAAGCCC
This is a non-coding RNA of Caranx melampygus (bluefin trevally), 72 nucleotides long. The record is from the annotation of a GenBank genome assembly. NCBI's taxonomy places the organism in Eukaryota, Metazoa, Chordata, Actinopteri, Carangiformes, Carangidae.